UAGUGUUGUACUCUCUUUUUGUAAAAGAUGAGGAAAGUUGAGCAACGUUUUGUCAACAGAGGACCGAUUUGUAAAUGUAUUUUUUUUCAUGCUGUUCGGCAAAACGGCAGGCCGAGUUUAAGAAGCUGACCGAUACGUUCGCUUUUCAAACUGGCCGCCUGCGAGCUAUUUGUGACCAAAUGAUGGCAUUCUACAUGUUUGUGUUCUGCGUUACUAUUUUACAUUGAAUUUGAAUCAAACAUGGCGCAUUUCACUAGCAAAAUGUUCAAAACAAAAUACAUACAGUAGUUUUGUAUUUUUGAACAUCAGUUAUCUUAUUGCUAACGUAUCCUGGGACAUGCCUUAGACAAGCUAAUGAAAGGUGGAAUUGAAUGUACGGUAAUUGCAAAGCAUCAAACGACUGCUACUUGAACACACGGAACAGCGUCACAUACUGUACAAUUAGACUCUGUCUAAUAGAGCCAACAAGCAACAUUACGCACAGGCAUAUUCUGUUCGCACACACAAACACACAAAGUGCAUCUGUCUACAUUACAGCUGGCGGCAUGGCUGGAGUGUUGUUAUCUGCUUUGAGCACCACCCUUGAUUCAAUGUCAUGACCUAGUGCCAGUAACCAAAUAAAUCCACUCAGAACACUCUGUGGCGCCCGCCGGAUUUCUGAUUGGUUUUAUUUUGGGGAGCUGAGAGGAGUGAAUAUUUAAGAAAAGAGCUGAAACCGCAAUGUACAGUCGCUUCCUGAUCUAGACAAUAACGGACGGUUUUUAUUGAUUGAUGUCGCAGUAUGCAUGCGAUUAUGCUCAGAGUCCUACUUGCGGAGUUCCUUGCUAAUAUCUUGCUUUUGAAACUGUAAAUGCUAAUGCUAAGCUAGCGGGACAAUGGAGGCGAACAACAAAAGAACAACAGAAGGACAAAAGGUUCCAAAACAAGGGUGCCAAACACACUCAGACUAAUUACGAGGUACAGCUGGGUAGGACACAGGGGAAACGACGGGGAGGAGUUCCGGGCGCAACCAACGACAGACGGGAUUGGACUACUGUUAUUCAGACUGACCGAGCAGGGUCAGACACAAGGGCAGAGGACAGAAUCACAAAUAAAACGGGAAGAAUUUGUAGAGGUAAACCAGGAUCUAAUAGGGGGGAAAAAAAGAACAAUUAGUAAUGUGGUGUGACGUACUAAAUACACUCUCGCAAAGCGAACGCAAUGUACAUGGAUGCCAUUUAGUGAAAAGAUAAGCACUGAGAUUGCAAUCAACUCAAUUUACAUGAAACAAAACAAGAGACGCCAUCCCCCAAAUCAAAACCAACAGAGGACAAAAGAAGGUUAACAAUAAGGAAUGUGAGCCAGAAAUACGCUGAGGAACGCAGAUAAGGGUGGCUAGAAAAUGCAUCGUCUUGAACAAAUAAAAGAUGACACUCGCUAGAAGCAAAGAAAAAACUGUCAUGGGUCACAAUGUUAAGUAGACCUGCACCUGAUUCUAAUUUAAAAAAAAUAUUUUUUAUUUUUAUUUUUUG
Hippocampus zosterae (dwarf seahorse) is the source of this 1511-nucleotide long non-coding RNA. RefSeq lists it as uncharacterized. NCBI's taxonomy places the organism in Eukaryota, Metazoa, Chordata, Actinopteri, Syngnathiformes, Syngnathidae. The transcript has 2 exons. The record is from RefSeq and is a predicted model, not a curated record.